RNAcentral lists this ribosomal RNA (468 nucleotides) under uncultured bacterium. Its description in RNAcentral is "partial 16S ribosomal RNA". It matches the Rfam family "Bacterial small subunit ribosomal RNA", at positions 28 to 507 of the family's 1533-position model. The record is from RNAcentral.
GACGAACGCUGGCGGCGUGCUUAACACAUGCAAGUCGAACGGAAAGGCCCUGCUUUUGUGGGGUGCUCGAGUGGCGAACGGGUGAGUAACACGUGAGUAACCUGCCCUUGACUUUGGGAUAACUUCAGGAAACUGGGGCUAAUACCGGAUAGGAUCUCCUGCUGCAUGGUGGGGGUUGGAAAGUUUCGGCGGUUGGGGAUGGACUCGCGGCUUAUCAGCUUGUUGGUGGGGUAGUGGCUUACCAAGGCUUUGACGGGUAGCCGGCCUGAGAGGGUGACCGGCCACAUUGGGACUGAGAUACGGCGCAGACUCCUACGGGAGGCAGCAGUGGGGAAUAUUGCACAAUGGGCGGAAGCCUGAUGCAGCAACGCCGCGUGCGGGAUGACGGCCUUCGGGUUGUAAACCGCUUUAGCCUGUGACGAAGCGUGAGUGACGGUAAUGGGUAAAGAAGCACCGGCUAACUACGUG